AGCCAUGCAUGUCUAAGUAUAAGCAAUUAUACAGCGAAACUGCGAAUGGCUCAUUAUAUAAGUUAUCGUUUAUUUGAUAGUACCUUACUACUUGGAUAACCGUGGUAAUUCUAGAGCUAAUACAUGCUAAAAAUCCCGACUUCGGAAGGGAUGUAUUUAUUAGAUUAAAAACCAAUGCCCUCUGGGCUCCUUGGUGAUUCAUGAUAACUCUUCGAAUCGCACGGCCUUGCGCCGGCGAUGGUUCAUUCAAAUUUCUUCCCUAUCAACUUUCGAUGUUUGGGUAUUGGCCAAACAUGGUUGCAACGGGUAACGGAGGGUUAGGGCUCGACCCCGGAGAAGGAGCCUGAGAAACGGCUACUACAUCCAAGGAAGGCAGCAGGCGCGCAAAUUACCCAAUCCCGAUUCGGGGAGGUAGUGACAAUAAAUACUGAUACAGGGCUCUUUUGGGUCUUGUAAUUGGAAUGAGUACAAUUUAAAUCUCUUAACGAGGAACAAUUGGAGGGCAAGUCUGGUGCCAGCAGCCGCGGUAAUUCCAGCUCCAAUAGCGUAUAUUAAAGUUGUUGUGGUUAAAAAGCUCGUAGUUGAACCUUGGGCCUGGCUGGCCGGUCCGCCUCACCGCGUGCACUGGUCCGGCCGGGCCUUUCCCUCUGUGGAACCCCAUGCCCUUCACUGGGCGUGGCGGGGAAACAGGACGUUUACUUUGAAAAAAUUAGAGUGCUCCAGGCAGGCCUAUGCUCGAAUACAUUAGCAUGGAAUAAUGAAAUAGGACGCGUGGUUCUAUUUUGUUGGUUUCUAGGACCGCCGUAAUGAUUAAUAGGGACAGUCGGGGGCAUCAGUAUUCAAUUGUCAGAGGUGAAAUUCUUGGAUUUAUUGAAGACUAACUACUGCGAAAGCAUUUGCCAAGGAUGUUUUCAUUAAUCAGGAACGAAAGUUAGGGGAUCGAAGACGAUCAGAUACCGUCGUAGUCUUAACCAUAAACUAU
RNAcentral lists this ribosomal RNA (982 nucleotides) under Cordyceps cicadae. RNAcentral describes it as "SSU rRNA". It matches the Rfam family "Eukaryotic small subunit ribosomal RNA", at positions 47 to 1040 of the family's 1831-position model. Lineage: Eukaryota; Fungi; Ascomycota; Sordariomycetes; Hypocreales; Cordycipitaceae. The record is from RNAcentral.